UAAACCAAGGUCAUCUUGGCUAUUGGGAGCCU
Molecule: non-coding RNA, 32 nt
Filed under: Rattus norvegicus (Norway rat)
Lineage: Eukaryota; Metazoa; Chordata; Mammalia; Rodentia; Muridae
Source: RNAcentral